This is a long non-coding RNA of Amblyraja radiata (thorny skate), 633 nucleotides long. RefSeq lists it as uncharacterized. The transcript has 3 exons. The record is from RefSeq and is a predicted model, not a curated record. Lineage: Eukaryota; Metazoa; Chordata; Chondrichthyes; Rajiformes; Rajidae.
AACUCACAGCAAGGUAAUUGAAUUUAGUGAGAAAAACAUUAAGAAGUCUGAAUAAUGUGCAGCCAAGUGGAUAGAAGUGGAAGAAAGUCUUGAAAGCAAAUGUGCUGCAACACAAAGAGGACAGACAAGUCGUGAAACCAGGAAAACAUUGUGAAGCAACUGGAACUGAAAGGAGGCAGCAGUGUAUCCCGGGUUACCAUGCCGCGUGCUAUCGUCACUUCUGCAACAUUACAACAAUAAAUCGAGCUAUAGCAAGGUCUAGAAGGAAGAAAGGCUGCUGUACAUUCAAAAUGUCUGUAACAGUUUCCACAAAUUCCCAGUCCAAAGGGACAUGGGUGGAAAAUUGUAGGCAGUGAAUUGGACAUUGACUGGGCUGAUCUGCCUCCAGCCCCAAGCACCUUGCUAGAAUUAACAUAUUGUUCAUGCAAGAAAACAAGCUGUGAGAAGUCAAGUACAGGGAACGGAAGAUGCUCAUGUCAACAGCAUGGUGUGCCAUGUACAGAUUUAUGUAAGUGUGUUGACUGCAGAAACUCUCUUACUACAAUAGAUUUGGAAUCUGAUGAAGAAUAUUCAGAUGAAGAUUAGAUGGAAUGUAAACCAAAAGAUUGGGGAAAUAAAUGAUUAUAUAAAGUA